CAGCAUCCACCCCAGCAGCAUCCACCCCAGCAGCAUCCCCAGUCACAGACCCAGCUAAAUGUGUAGAAGAAGCUUGGCAGGGAACAGAUGUCUAUGUGCUGCUCUCAAAAAUAGGGCCAUACCUAAUCUUCUUUGCCGACAUCGCAAGAACCGCUCCAGAUAUGGAGUUUGAGAGUGAGGUCAUGAAUGCCUACAUGCAGCUACUGGUGCGAGACUUUAAUGCGAAGUCAACCGACAGGGCUAUGGCAAUAGACACAUUUGAGAUGUCCAACAUAUGGAAAAGGAAACAACCAAAAGUGAAG
Long non-coding RNA from Gadus morhua (Atlantic cod), 302 nucleotides. RefSeq lists it as uncharacterized. The transcript has 3 exons. Lineage: Eukaryota; Metazoa; Chordata; Actinopteri; Gadiformes; Gadidae. The record is from RefSeq and is a predicted model, not a curated record.